RNAcentral lists this ribosomal RNA (969 nucleotides) under Clostridioides difficile. Its description in RNAcentral is "partial 23S ribosomal RNA". It matches the Rfam family "Bacterial large subunit ribosomal RNA", at positions 1897 to 2867 of the family's 2925-position model. Lineage: Bacteria; Bacillati; Bacillota; Clostridia; Peptostreptococcales; Peptostreptococcaceae. The record is from RNAcentral.
AAUCGAAGCAGUGAACUUAAGCCCCAGUAAACGGCGGCCGUAACUAUAACGGUCCUAAGGUAGCGAAAUUCCUUGUCGGGUAAGUUCCGACCCGCACGAAAGGCGUAACGAUUUGGGCACUGUCUCAACAACAGACUCGGUGAAAUUGUAAUUCCGGUGAAGAUGCCGGAUACCUGCGACAGGACGGAAAGACCCCAUGGAGCUUUACUGUAGCUUGACAUUGGGUCUUGGUACUACAUGUACAGGAUAGGUGGGAGGCUUUGAAACCAGGACGCCAGUUUUGGCGGAGCCAUCCUUGGGAUACCACCCUUGUAGUACUGGGACUCUAACCAUAGGCCAUGAAUCUGGUCUUGGGACACUGUCAGGUGGGCAGUUUGACUGGGGCGGUCGCCUCCCAAAAGGUAACGGAGGCGCUCAAAGGUUCUCUCAGUACGGUCGGAAAUCGUACGUAGAGUGUAAAGGCAAAAGAGAGCUUGAUUGCAAGACAUACAGGUCGAGCAAGGAUGAAAAUCGGACUUAGUGAUCCGGUGGUUCUGCGUGGAAGGGCCAUCGCUCAACGGAUAAAAGCUACCCUGGGGAUAACAGGCUUAUCUCCCCCAAGAGUCCACAUCGACGGGGAGGUUUGGCACCUCGAUGUCGGCUCAUCACAUCCUGGGGCUGUAGUAGGUCCCAAGGGUUGGGCUGUUCGCCCAUUAAAGUGGUACGCGAGCUGGGUUCAGAACGUCGUGAGACAGUUCGGUCCCUAUCCGUCGCAGGCGUAGGAAAUUUGAGAAGACCUGUCCUUAGUACGAGAGGACCGGGAUGGACGUACCUCUGGUGUACCAGUUGUUCUGCCAAGGGCAUGGCUGGGUAGCUAUGUACGGAAUGGAUAAGCGCUGAAAGCAUCUAAGCGCGAAGCCAACUUCAAGAUAAGAUUUCCCACCGCAAGGGUAAGACCCCAGAAAGACUAUCUGGUUGAUAGGUCGAAGG